GGACCUGACUGCUAUCGGAACGGGACUAAGCCAUGCGAGUCCUGCCAGUUUAAGCACGUGAACUGGCGGCAAACGGCUCAGUAACACGUAGUCAACCUGCCCUUAGGACGAGAACAAUCUCGGGAAACUGAGGCUAAUUCUCGAUAGGUCAAGAUUCCUGGAAUGGGUUUUGGCUCAAAAGAAGUGACAGCAUCUUGUUAAUUCGCCCGAGGAUGGGACUGCGGCCGAUCAGGCUGUUGGUGAGGUAAAGGCUCACCAAACCUGUAACCGGUACGGGCUUUGAGAGAAGGAGCCCGGAGAUGGACACUGAGACAAGGGUCCAGGUCCUACGGGGCGCAGCAGGCGCGAAACCUUCGCAAUGUGCGAAAGCACGACAAGGUUAUUCCGAGUGAUUUCCGCUGAGGAAAUCUUUUCUCAGAUCUAAAAAGUCUGGGGAAUAAGGGGAGGGCAAGUCUGGUGU
RNAcentral lists this ribosomal RNA (460 nucleotides) under uncultured archaeon. Its description in RNAcentral is "bacterial SSU rRNA". It matches the Rfam family "Archaeal small subunit ribosomal RNA", at positions 19 to 458 of the family's 1478-position model. The record is from RNAcentral.